UUGAACAAAGACAAGAAUGGCUUGAACAUCGACAAGAUCAAAUCCUAUCUGAGCUGCAGCAAAUUCAUCGACAAUUUGACUCUUUAUUUAGGCAUUUUAAUUUUUCACCUCCUGAAUGAGCUUGUAUGUGUAUUGUAAACUCUUUAUGAUCACAAUGCCUUGUGCCUUGAUGUAUUUAUUUGUGAGCAAAGUUACAAACAUCAC
Molecule: long non-coding RNA, 204 nt
Filed under: Musa acuminata (dwarf banana)
Lineage: Eukaryota; Viridiplantae; Streptophyta; Magnoliopsida; Zingiberales; Musaceae
Description: long non-coding RNA (MACU_LNC001921)
Source: RNAcentral